AUUAGCUAGUUGGUAGGGUAACGGCCUACCAAGGCAAUGAUGCAUAGCCGAGUUGAGAGACUGAUCGGCCACAUUGGGACUGAGACACGGCCCAAACUCCUACGGGAGGCAGCAGUAGGGAAUCUUCCACAAUGGACGAAAGUCUGAUGGAGCAACGCCGCGUGAGUGAAGAAGGGUUUCGGCUCGUAAAGCUCUGUUGGUAGUGAAGAAAGAUAGAGGUAGUAACUGGCCUUUAUUUGACGGUAAUUACUUAGAAAGUCACGGCUAACUACGUGCCAGCAGCCGCGGUAAUACGUAGGUGGCAAGCGUUGUCCGGAUUUAUUGGGCGUAAAGCGAGUGCAGGCGGUUCAAUAAGUCUGAUGUGAAAGCCUUCGGCUCAACCGGAGAAUUGCAUCAGAAACUGUUGAACUUGAGUGCAGAAGAGGAGAGUGGAACUCCAUGUGUAGCGGUGAAAUGCGUA
This 460-nucleotide ribosomal RNA is filed under the name uncultured bacterium. Its description in RNAcentral is "bacterial SSU rRNA". It matches the Rfam family "Bacterial small subunit ribosomal RNA", at positions 240 to 692 of the family's 1533-position model. The record is from RNAcentral.